UAGCGGAGGGGCUAGCGUUGUUCGGAAUACUGGCGUAAAGCGCACGUAGGCGGCUUUGUAAGUUAGAGGUGAAAGCCGGGCUCAACUCCGGAAUUGCCUUAAGACUGCAUCGCUAGAAUUGUGGAGAGGUAAGUGGAAUUCCGAGUGUAGAGGUGAAAUUCGUAGAUAUUCGGAAGAACACCAGUGGCGAAGGCGGCCUGCUGGGCAGUUUGCUGACACUGAGGCGCGACAGCGUGGGAGCAACAGGAUAGAUAC
RNAcentral lists this ribosomal RNA (255 nucleotides) under uncultured bacterium. RNAcentral describes it as "partial 16S ribosomal RNA". It matches the Rfam family "Bacterial small subunit ribosomal RNA", at positions 524 to 785 of the family's 1533-position model. The record is from RNAcentral.